This 90-nucleotide transfer RNA is filed under the name Lentisphaerota bacterium. RNAcentral's name for it is "Lentisphaerae bacterium (anaerobic digester metagenome) tRNA-Ser". It matches the Rfam family "tRNA". From Rfam's summary of the family: Transfer RNA (tRNA) molecules are approximately 80 nucleotides in length. Their secondary structure includes four short double-helical elements and three loops (D, anti-codon, and T loops). RNAcentral also lists the same sequence under 1 other name. Lineage: Bacteria; Pseudomonadati; Lentisphaerota. The record is from RNAcentral.
GGAGAGAUGGCGGAGUGGUUGAACGCGCCGGUCUUGAAAACCGGAUUCCGCGCAAGCGGAACGGGGGUUCGAAUCCCUCUCUCUCCGCCA